Molecule: ribosomal RNA, 531 nt
Filed under: uncultured bacterium
Lineage: Bacteria
Description: bacterial SSU rRNA
Rfam family: Bacterial small subunit ribosomal RNA
Source: RNAcentral
UGGGGAAUAUUGGACAAUGGGCGCAAGCCUGAUCCAGCAAUGCCGCGUGGAUGAAGAAGGUUUUCGGAUUGUAAAGUCCUUUCGGCGGGGACGAUGAUGACGGUACCCGCAGAAGAAGCCCCGGCUAACUUCGUGCCAGCAGCCGCGGUAAUACGAAGGGGGCUAGCGUUGCUCGGAAUGACUGGGCGUAAAGGGCGCGUAGGCGGAGUGCUUUGUCGGGCGUGAAAUUCCAGGGCUUAACCUUGGGGCUGCGUUCGAGACGGGCAUUCUUGAGUGGGGAAGAGGGUCGUGGAAUUCCCAGUGUAGAGGUGAAAUUCGUAGAUAUUGGGAAGAACACCGGUGGCGAAGGCGGCGACCUGGUCCUUUUACUGACGCUGAGGCGCGAAAGCGUGGGGAGCAAACAGGAUUAGAUACCCUGGUAGUCCACGCUGUAAACGAUGUGCGCUGGAUGUUGGGCGGCUUAGCCGUUCAGUGUCGUAGCUAACGCGGUAAGCGCACCGCCUGGGGAGUACGGCCGCAAGGUUGAAACUC